This 822-nucleotide long non-coding RNA is filed under the name Daucus carota (carrot). Its description in RNAcentral is "long non-coding RNA (DCAR_LNC004964)". The record is from RNAcentral. Lineage: Eukaryota; Viridiplantae; Streptophyta; Magnoliopsida; Apiales; Apiaceae.
AUGCUGAGAUUUUAGAGAAGAAACACUCUCCCAAAGUUUAUUCAAGUGCCCACUUCUUCUACUUCAUCUUUAAAACCUUCGAUUCUUCAUAUAUUCCGAUAUAUACAAGGUUUUAAACCCCGAAGCUUCGUUCCACCCAACCAAGCUCCGCUCAUCUUAGCAUUUUCAUAAACCACUCUUUUCAACCUCCCAAAGGGCUGCUCAAAUUCGUUCGUGUGCUUAAAGUCGUAUCGAACCUCCGACGAAUUUCUCCGGCGAACUUUCGUGGAAUAAUCGUGUAAGUGGUUACUUUUAGCUUCAAUUAUCCGAGUCUUAAUCGACCAUUUUCAAAGGGCUUUUUAAACAAAUUUCUCUUCAUCUUAAGAUCUCUUGAUUUCAAAAUACUCGAGUUGGCCACUCGUUAUUAUCGGGAAUUUGUGCACUAACUUUAUUUGCUCACUAACUCAUAUUUGUGCUCCCAUUCCCAUCACUCCCAUACCCUUCUUGUUUUAGUGAGAAACCCAUUUUUCAGCCCUGUGCUCGGUGGGGAUAUCAUUAAGAUAAGAUACGUGGUAUUACGUGUUUAUUUUCCGAACGUGUGUGACGUGAGUGAUUUUACUUGUUUCGGUGGUAAACCCCGUUUGGGCCUUUUCGCUAUCGCGGGGUGUUAUCCGAACAAGCUACUUGGUUCAAAAUCCUUUAGUGUGAGUGUGCGAUAUAUCUUGCUCGACUUCGACUCCGUCUUUUCAAAACUCACUCAUCACUCGAUCUUAUUAAAAUCAACAACUUAUAUUUCUCCGCGCGAUAUAAUUUGUUAAAAUUGAACCAACGACUUAACCACCA